RNAcentral lists this ribosomal RNA (253 nucleotides) under Alistipes shahii WAL 8301. RNAcentral describes it as "partial 16S ribosomal RNA". It matches the Rfam family "Bacterial small subunit ribosomal RNA", at positions 524 to 776 of the family's 1533-position model. The record is from RNAcentral. Lineage: Bacteria; Pseudomonadati; Bacteroidota; Bacteroidia; Bacteroidales; Rikenellaceae.
UACGGAGGAUCCAAGCGUUAUCCGGAUUUAUUGGGUUUAAAGGGUGCGUAGGCGGUUUGAUAAGUUAGAGGUGAAAUACCGGUGCUUAACACCGGAACUGCCUCUAAUACUGUUGGACUAGAGAGUAGUUGCGGUAGGCGGAAUGUAUGGUGUAGCGGUGAAAUGCUUAGAGAUCAUACAGAACACCGAUUGCGAAGGCAGCUUACCAAACUAUAUCUGACGUUGAGGCACGAAAGCGUGGGGAGCAAACAGG